AUUGAACGCUGGCGGCAUGCUUUACACAUGCAAGUCGAACGGUAACAGGCCGCAAGGUGCUGACGAGUGGCGAACGGGGGCGUAAUGCAUCGGAACGUGCCCAGUCGUGGUGGAUAACUACUCGAAAGAGUAGCUAAUACCGCAUACGAUCUAUGGAUGAAAGCGGGGGACCGCAAGGCCUCGCGCGAUUUGAGCGGCCGAUGUCAGAUUAGGUAGUUGGUGGGGUAAAGGCUCACCAAGCCAACGAUCUGUAGCUGGUCUGAGAGGACGACCAGCCACACUGGGACUGAGACACGGCCCAGACUCCUACGGGAGGCAGCAGUGGGGAAUUUUGGACAAUGGGCGCAAGCCUGAUCCAGCAAUGCCGCGUGCAGGAAGAAGGCCUUCGGGUUGUAAACUGCUUUUGUACGGAACGAAACGGCUCUGGUUAAUACCCGGGGCUAAUGACGGUACCGUAAGAAUAAGCACCGGCUAACUACGUG
This 482-nucleotide ribosomal RNA is filed under the name uncultured bacterium. Its description in RNAcentral is "partial 16S ribosomal RNA". It matches the Rfam family "Bacterial small subunit ribosomal RNA", at positions 30 to 507 of the family's 1533-position model. The record is from RNAcentral.